CAAUUACUCUCACCUGCGACACUUCAAGUGUGCUCGGAAAUAUCUGUGAGCAACUGCAACCGUACAAUGCCGCGAUGAUUCACCACUCACCUUUGUGCCUCGAUUUCGGUCUCGAUUGUUCUAAUUAUCUCACCUGCGUCGCGACACUUCAAGCAUACUCCGAAAGCUCGAAAUAUCUGUGUGAAGUCAACCUCUUUUUUUUCCCUCGAUUUAUACAAAGAUCUUUAAUUAAUUUAGUCUUCUUUUAUUAUUAAUUUAAUUUAUUCUUUAAUGUCUUUUAAGAGAUUGUGUAGGUUCAAGAAUUUUUGUAAUUAUGCCUUGACGCGUAAGAUUACAUAUUUGCGUUCUCUGGAACUUUUUUAUAAGGAUAAUAAUGCUAAAUGUGUAUGUUUAAUUUAACGAGAAUAAUAAAUGGAUGACACGUGGAUGACAUUUGCAUUAGUAGCGAGUACAAUGCUUGCCACGGGGAGAUCGUAAAUCCAAUAAAAAAAAAAAGUAAGAUAAUUGUGUGCGUACAUGUGAUUACCUGAAAAUCGAAUAAAAAGUUAUAUCGUAAUAGCAUUGUAGAACGCCGCAGAGCAUUGCGGUCGCAGAAUGUAAGAAUGUUCUAUUUAAGGCGACCAACGCAGGAACAAAGUAAGCGUAUGGCGGAGCUUUGAAAUCGAUCGCAAGGAAAAAGGAGCACGCGGAAUUAGUUUCCUUAUCAUAUCAAACGUUUUACGAUUAGCAGACUCCUAUUUCGCUCGCGCUUUAUUAGAUUGUCUCGUCUUUGAGGCACGCUUUGGCACUUUUAAAUCAAUAACAUUAUCCGGUCGUAAACCGUCGCCGCUACGCUAAGAGGAUACUUGGUAAUUUUAUCGUCGCCGCUUUAUUAUUCCGGCGUAAUCUCUUUUUCGCGGAAAUCACGACUUCCCGGGCGCCGCAGUCGCGCGGAUUUAUACGGCGUUCGCGCAUCCGAAAUUAAUCCCCCCAUGAAGCACCACGAGGACGA
Molecule: long non-coding RNA, 991 nt
Organism: Pogonomyrmex barbatus (red harvester ant)
Lineage: Eukaryota; Metazoa; Arthropoda; Insecta; Hymenoptera; Formicidae
Source: RefSeq, a predicted model, not a curated record